This 477-nucleotide ribosomal RNA is filed under the name Burkholderiaceae bacterium oral taxon D14. Its description in RNAcentral is "bacterial SSU rRNA". It matches the Rfam family "Bacterial small subunit ribosomal RNA", at positions 30 to 500 of the family's 1533-position model. Lineage: Bacteria; Pseudomonadati; Pseudomonadota; Betaproteobacteria; Burkholderiales; Burkholderiaceae. The record is from RNAcentral.
AUUGAACGCUGCGGCAUGCCUUACACAUGCAAGUCGAACGGCAGCACGGAGCUUGCUCUGGUGGCGAGUGGCGAACGGGUGAGUAAUAUAUCGGAACGUACCCUAGAGUGGGGGAUAACGUAGCGAAAGUUACGCUAAUACCGCAUACGAUCUAAGGAUGAAAGUGGGGGAUCGCAAGACCUCAUGCUCGUGGAGCGGCCGAUAUCUGAUUAGCUAGUUGGUAGGGUAAAAGCCUACCAAGGCAUCGAUCAGUAGCUGGUCUGAGAGGACGACCAGCCACACUGGAACUGAGACACGGUCCAGACUCCUACGGGAGGCAGCAGUGGGGAAUUUUGGACAAUGGGCGAAAGCCUGAUCCAGCAAUGCCGCGUGAGUGAAGAAGGCCUUCGGGUUGUAAAGCUCUUUUGUCAGGGAAGAAACGGUGAAAGCUAAUAUCUUUUGCUAAUGACGGUACCUGAAGAAUAAGCACCGGGCUAA